Molecule: ribosomal RNA, 1673 nt
Filed under: human gut metagenome
Description: bacterial LSU rRNA
Rfam family: Bacterial large subunit ribosomal RNA
Source: RNAcentral
GGUGAGUCGGGUCCUAAGGCGAGGCCGACAGGCGUAGUCGAAUGGAUGAACGGGUGGAUAUUCCCGUACCGGCGGCGUACCGUAAGAGCCGAACGGAUGAGUACUAACCUCCGGUCGCGUGGCGUCGUUCCCUUCGGGGUUCGGGGUCCGCGGUCGUUGGGAGCGUAGUCCUGGUAGGCUAGCGCACAGGGGUGACACGGAAUGGGAGCCGGCCGCGGAGGUGGUUUUCCGUGGUCAAGCACGCAGCCCGUCCCAUAGGCAAAUCCGUGGGACGCAUAGGGUGAGGUGUGAUGAUGGGCGUCCUUUGGACGCGAUAUCCGGUGGUCCAGGCCGUCGAGAAAAGCCUCGGCGCGAGGGGCGUCGCCGCCCGUACCCCAAACCGACACUGGUGGUCAGGUAGAGAAUACCAAGGCGAUCGAGCGAAUCCUGGUCAAGGAACUCGGCAAAUCACUCCCGUGCCUUCGGUAUAAGGGAGACCCCCGGGCGUGAAGAGGCUUGCCCUCGGAGCGUUGGGGGGUGGCACAGACCAGGGGGUAGCGACUGUUUACCAAAAACACAGGUGCAUGCGAAGGCGCAAGCCGCUGUAUAUGCACUGACGCCUGCCCGGUGCCGGAAGGUUAAGAGGAUCCGUCAGCCCCUUUUGGGGUGAAGCGGUGAAUUCAAGCCCCGGUAAACGGCGGUGGUAACUAUAACCAUCCUAAGGUAGCGAAAUUCCUUGUCGGGUAAGUUCCGACCUGCACGAAUGGCGUAACGACUUCCCCACUGUCUCGACCAGGAGCUCGGCGAAAUUGCAGUACGAGUAAAGAUGCUCGUUAAGCGCAGAAGGACGAAAAGACCCCGGGACCUUUACUAUACCUUGGUAUUGGCAUUCGGUGUGGAUUGUGUAGCAUAGGCGGGAGGCUUCGAAGCAUGGGCGCCAGCCCGUGUGGAGCCGCAAGGUGAAAUACCGCUCUGUUCUCGUUUGACGUCUAACCUCGAACAGUCAUCCUGUUCAGGGACAGUGCCUGGCGGGUAGUUUAACUGGGGCGGUUGCCUCCCAAAGAGUAACGGAGGCGCUCAAAGGUCCGCUCAGCCCGGUUGGCAAUCGGGUUUCGAGUGUAAUCGCACAAGCGGGCUUGACUGCGAGAACGACGGUUCGGGCAGGGACGAAAGUCGGAGAUAGUGAUCCGGUGCCGGCGCACGGGCGCGGCAUCGCUCAACGGAUAAAAGGUACCCCGGGGAUAACAGGCUGAUCAUUCCCAAGAGUCCAUAUCGACGGGAUGGUUUGGCACCUCGAUGUCGGCUCGUCGCAUCCUGGGGCUGGAGCAGGUCCCAAGGGUUCGGCUGUUCGCCGAUUAAAGCGGCACGCGAGCUGGGUUCAGAACGUCGUGAGACAGUUUGGUCUCUAUCCUCUGCGCUCGUUGGAAUCCUGAGGAGGCCUGCCCAUAGUACGAGAGGACCUGGGUGGACGGACCUCUGGUAUGCCGGUUGUCGCGCCAGCGGCAUGGCCGGUUGGCUACGUUCGGGAGGGAUAACCGCUGAAAGCAUCUAAGCGGGAAGCCUGCUCCAAGAUUAGGAUUCCUUGGCACUUCGGUGCCUGUAGCCCGCAUGUUGAACACGUGUUCGAUAGGCCGGAGGUGGAAGCCCCGCGAGGGGUGGAGCCGACCGGUACUAACGGGCGAACGCGGCACACU